CGGGAGGGAGGGACGGAGGUGCGGGCGCCCCUGCGCGGAGAUCCGCCCGGGGUCGCGUUCGCUGAUCCGCCGGCGCGUCGCCUCAUCCCGCCUCCCGGCCGCGAGCGGGGGCUGAGGCGGCGCGGGGCGGCCGUGGCGCGCGGGGCGUGAGGGAGGCCGUGGGGCGGCGCGGCCGGGGUCGCCUCAGGGCUGCGCGGGCACCCGGAGACGCGAACCCGCCGCCAGGCGUGUUGAGGAAGGCGAGCCGGCGGUCCGGUGCCGGUGAAUCGGUAGACGGAGGAAGCUGGCCGGGCUAGCCUGGCUGCGGGAUGGGGAAGGGCUGGCGCUGGCCAGCGCGGGAGGGAGCCCAGGGGCUUGUCUAAGAAGCAGAGCCUCCUGAGAAACCCGGGUGUCUGCGGACCCCAAAGGUUUCGAAGACUCCGAACAAAAGCUUUUGGAAGGCGCCGCCUCCGGUUGAGCGCCGAGCGGGGCUGGGGGCUGUGGGCUGAGGCCCGGAUGCCCCGCGCGUCGCUGCUGACCCGCGCGUGGUCCGUGGCCAAUGCUCUGCUAAGCAGGAUGAAUGACAACCUGUUUGUCAGUUUGGACAGACUUUUGCUAGAAUUUGUUUUCCAGUAUGAGCAAGACAUAAGUACCAAAGAAGAUGUGAUUCAAAGAAUUAAUAAAUGUGUUGAAGAUAUUAAAGAAAACAGAGCAAUUAUUUGUAACAUACAUGAAACCAUAAGUACAACUGAUGAAGAAAUUGACUAUUACUGUAAACAUAGUAAGGAGAUCAAAAACAACUGUAGUGACUGGAAGCCUACAUGUGAUGUUUUCCAUAAGCAUGAAGAUUACAUGCAGGACCAGUUUACUGUCUAUCAAGAAACUGUUGAGAAAGACAAAAAAAUGUAUCAUGGUUAUAUAUGUCAGUAUAAAGAUGUUUUGAAGCAAUACCAACUAAAAUAUUCAGAAGCACCCUAUUCACAUGAAUAUUAUGAGAAGAAAAGAGAACAUGAAGAAAUUAAAAGCAGAGUGUUGGCAUGUUCUGAACAACUAAAACUCAAUGAAAAUAUCCUCAUGGAAUUUCUAGUGCCUGCUCCCUUUCCAUCACUUAAUAAAUGGACAUUACACAUAGUUAAUUUGAGAUGUAAAACACAAGAAAUUCUUAAACAUGCCAACAGCUUUACCAGAAGUUCAUCUGAAUUGAAGAAAGAAGCAGAAGAAAUGGAAAUAGAAAUCAAUUAUUUAAAUAAGAUUGCGAGACUCUAUGAAACUAAGAAUCUUUCAGAAAGUCUAGAAGAAAAGAACAAAAGUACUGAAAAGAGAAAGGAGUUGAAAGAAAGAAUUUUUGAAAAAGAUGAGCAUGUGCUUGUAUUGAAUAAAACCCCUCAAAGUACUAAAUUAUUUCUUCCUUAUGAAUCUCAGAACUUAGUAAGACCAAUAAAGAUACAUUCUUCAGAACCAAGAGUUACAGAUAAAAAAGAAGAAAGUUCUGUGAAGUGGUCAAAGCUCGCCAAUAUUGACUUCAGACAAAAAGAAAAUGAUACACAGAUAUUUAGUGACUCUGGUGUAAAUAGCCAUUCAAAAAGUUCACAAAAUCUAAUGCAAUUCAGGUUGUUAUCUCCACAGAAGCAAUCAAAUUGUAAUCAGUGGUUUGAAAAAGGACAUACAGAUGCUGAGUGUGGAGAUAAAGGGACAGUGAGACCUUUAAGAGAAUCAAAAUGUACUUCACAGGCUAUCUACACAGAACAUUUCGGAAAGACAAUAGAAAAUAAUAGUGACAAAGUAGAAGAAAGAACUGAGAAUUUUCCACAAACUCCUGAAAUUUCUGUAUUUUUAAGAACUCCUGAAGCUGUAAAAACACCUGAAUCUUUGGAGAAAGUGCAGUUUCCUAAAACCCCAUCAUUUGAAAUAAAUAGAAAUGCAAUACCUGAAGGUCAAACAGAAAAGGGAUCUCCUGGAUUUUCUUUUCUUAUGAGUUAUACUUCUAGAUCACCUGGAUUGAAUUUAUUUGAUUCUUCUAUAUUUGAUUCAGAAAUCUCAUCAGAUCAGUUUAAUGAACAUUAUUCUGCAGGAAAUCUAAAUCCUGUUUCAUCACAACAAGAAAUUGGGUGUCUUGGCUUUCCAUGCCUAAAUACUCUCAUGGACUCUUCAGCCAUAUCCGAAUGCCUUAAGGGCUGAUUCUGAGGCGAGUACUAUUUAGGACAUCUGCCAUUCUAUGAGUUUACUGUGUAUCCCGCUUCCCAUGAUGGAUUGUUCUCUCCCUUUUUGAUUCUAUCAGCUAGUAUUAGCAGACACUAGACUUGUUUGUGUGAUCCCUUUGAUUCCUAGACCUAUCAGUGUGAUCAAUUGUGAACUGAAAUUGAUCACUUGGACUAGUGAGAUGGCAUUGGUACAUGCCACCUUGAUGGGAUUGUAUUGGGAUCCCCUGGCAUGAUUCCAACCAUUUGGGGCAAGUCCAAUUGAGCAUGUCCCAAAUUGUACAUCUCCUCCCUCUCUUAUUCCCACUCUUAUAUUUAACAGGGAUCACUUUUCAGUUAAAAUUUAAACACCUAAGAAUAAUUGUGUGUUAAUCAUAGAGUUCAACCAAUAGUACUAGAACAAAAACAAAGAGAAAAUACUAAAAUGGAUAAAGUAUUACAUUGUACAUCAACAGUCAGGACAAGAGCUGAUCAAGUCACUGUUUCUCAUAGUGUCCAUUUCACUUCAACAGGUUUCCCCUUUGCUGCUCAGUUAGUUGUCACCGAUCAGAGAGAACAUAUGAUAUUUGUCCCUUUGGGACUGGCUUAUUUCACUCAGCAUGAUGUUUUCCAGAUUCCUCCAUCUUGUUGCAAAUGACCGGAUUUCGUUGUUUUUGACUGCUGGAUAGUAUUCUAUAGAGUACAUGUCCCAUAAUUUCUUUAUCCAGUCUACUGUUGAUGGGCAUUUUGGUUGGUUCCAGGUCUUAGCUAUUAUGAAUUGAGCUGCAAUAAACAUUAAUGUGCAGACCACUUGAUUGUUUGCCAAUUUAAUUUCCUUUGGGUAAAUUCCAAGGAGUGGUAUGGCUGGGUUGAAUGGUAGGGUUAUAUUCAGGUUUCUGAGGAAUCUCCAGACUGACUUCCAUAGUAGCUUAACCAGUUUUCAUUCCCACCAACAGUGAGUGGGUCAGUGUCCCUUUUUCCCCACAUCCUCUCCAGCAUCUGUUGUUGGUAGAUUUCUGAAUGUGAGCCAUUCUAACUGGGGUGAGGUGAAACCUCAUUGUGGUUUUGAUUUGCAUUUCCCUGAUUGCUAGUGAUCUUGAACAUUUUUCAUGUGCCUGUUGGCCAUUUGGAUUUCCUCUUUUAAAAAAUGUCUAUUGAGGUCCUUGGCCCACCUCUUAAGUGGGUUGUUUGUUUUGAUGUUGUGGAGUUUCUUAAUUUCUUUGUAGAUUCUGGUUAUCAACCCUUUAUCUGUUGCAUAGUUUGUGAAUAUUUUUUCCCAUUCUGUUGGUUGCCUCUUCACUUUCCUGACUGUUUCUUUUGAAGUACAGAAACUUCUCAAUUUGAUGCAAUCCCAAAUGUUAAUUUUGGCUUUGACUGCCUGUGCUUCUGGGGUAUUUUCCAAGAAGUCUUUGCCAGUACCUAUAUCUUGCAGAGUUUCUCCAUUGCUCUCUAAUAAUUUGAUGGUGUCGGGCCAGACGCAUAUUUCAAACUCUUUUAUUUUAUUUAAGUUAUGCAAGUUUCAUGCAUUUCAUGUAUACAGAUUUAGGAACAUAGUGAUACUUCCCACCUCCUGCCCAUGCUUCUUCAACUCCCUCUUCAAUUCUCACUCUUAAUUUUACCAAGUCUAUUUUCAAUUUACUUAGUGAUUAUAAAGUUAACCCUACACUAAGUAAAAGAGUACAAUAGUACAAGAAAAAAAAAAAAAACACUGUUCCUCAAAGGAAGAGACAAGGGCUGUAAACAAUCAUCAAAUCUCAAAAUGUCCAAUACAUCACAUUUUAGGUACUCUAUUAGUUACCUCAGGUCAGGGAAAACAUAUGAUGUCUGCCUUUUUGGGACUGCCUUAUUUCACUAAGCAUAAUGGUUUCCAGUUGCAUCCAUUUUAUUACAAAAGACAGGAUUUUUUUAAACACAGUGUAUAGUAUUCCAUAGUGUAUAUAUAUCAUCAUUUCUUUAUCCAGUCUUCAAUUAAUGGACAUCUGGGUUGAUUCCAUAUCUUAGCUAUUAUGAAUUGAACUGCAAUAAACAUGGGGAUACAGAUAACUCUUUCAUCUAUUGAUUUCAUUUCCUUUGGGUAAAUUCCCAGGAACGGGGUGGCUCAGUCAUAUGAUAGGCCUGUAUUGAGAUUUCUGAGAUAUCUCAUACUGUCUUCCACAGUGGCUGGACCAGUUUACAUUCCCACUAACAGUGGAUUAGGAUACCUUUUCUCCCUCAUCCCUGCCAGCAUCUGUUGUUUGUUAAUUUCUGUAUGUGAGCCAUAAUAACUGGGAUGAAGUGAAACCUCAUUGUGGUUUUGAUUUGCAUUUCCCUGAUGGUGAGUGAUCCUGAACAUUUUUUUCAGGUGUCUAUUGGCCAUUUGAAUUUCCUCUCUUUGCCCAUUUCUUAACUGGAUUGUUUGUUUUGUUGUUGAAUUUUUUGAGCUCUUUAUUGAUUCUAGACAUAUUUUAAACUCUUAAUACCAUUCACUUGGGCUAUUGGCCUUUUCACUCUCAGCUUACCUCUAAAUCCAGUUUAAUUAAUCAUUCUGGGGCUGAUCCUGUGGUGUAGCAGGUAAAGCUGUCGCCUGCAGUGCCAGCAUCUUAUAUGGACGCUGGUUCGAGUCCCAGGCUGCUCCACUUCUGAUCCAGCUCUCUGCUAUGGCCUGGGAAAGCAGUAGAAGAUGGCCCAAGUCCUUGGUCUCCUACACCCACGUGGGAAACCCGGGAGAGGCUCCUGGCUCCUGGCUUUGGAUCGGCUCAGUUCUGGCUAUUGUAGCCAUUUGGGAAGGGAACCUGUGGAUGGAAGACCUUGCUCUCUUUCUUUGCCUCUGCCUCACCAUAACUCUGCCUUUCAAAUAAAUAAAUAAAUCUUUUUUAAAAAAUUAAUCAUUCUUAUGCAUAAUGUUGGCAAUGUCACUGCUGUAAUCAAAAACCUUCAAUGUUCUUAUUGACUAUCAAAUUAUUAUUUUACUUUUCUAACCUAGUUCCAACAUAGCUUUUAAGUCCUUUCUUUUAAAAGAAUAAUCUGAGCCGGCGCCGUGGCUCAAUAGGCUAAUCCUCCACCUUGCGGCGCCGGCACACCGGGUUCUAGUCCCGGUCGGGGCGCCGGAUUCUGUCCCGGUUGCCCCUCUUCCAGGCCAGCUCUCUGCUAUGGCCAGGGAGUGCAGUGGAGGAUGGCCCAGGUGCUUGGGCCCUGCACCCCAUGGGAGACCAGGAAAAGCACCUGGAUCCUGGCUCCUGCCAUCGGAUCAGCGCGGUGCGCCGGCUGCAGCGGCGGCCAUUGGAGGGUGACCCAACGGCAAAGGAAGACCUUUCUCUCUCUGUCUCUCUCUCUCACUGUCCACUCUGCCUGUAAAAAAAAAAAAAAAAAAAAAAAAAAAAAAAAAAAAACAAAAAAAAAAAACCAGGAAUAUUAUAACAAUACACAAUGAGAAAAGUGAGUAUAGUCUUUCUAAGAUGGCUAAUAAGUGAUCAAUGGGAAGGUAAUGUCUACAGCAUGGAUAUCCUGGACAAAAAAAUAAUUCAUGACCUAGGUAGUCAGAGCAGGACUUCCAUAAGUUAGCCAGACGAGGAGUGGGGUAGGGAGCACAUAGCCUCAGGCUUGAGUUAUUUGUUUCUGAAGUUUUCAUGUAAUAUUUUUGGAUUGAAUUAACCAUGAGUAACUGAAAAUGUGGAAAGUAAAACCACAGAUAAGUGGGGAUUACUGUGGUUAAGAUGGUAAGUUUUUAUUUUAUGUAUAUUUUACCACCAUAGAAAAAAAAUUGAGGAAAAAUUAAAUGACCACAAGAAAUAGUAACCAAAAGAAGGCCAUUUAGGCCGGCACCGUGGCUCAAUAGGCUAAUCCUCCACCUAGCAGCGCCAGCACACCGGGUUCUAGUCCCGGUUGGGGCGCCGGAUUCUGUCCCGGUUGCCCCUCUUCCAGUCCAGCUGUCUGCUGUGGCCAGGGAGUACAGUGGAGGAUGGCCCAAGUGCUUGGGCCCUGCACCCCAUGGGAGACCAGGAGAAGUACCUGGCUCCUGCCUUUGGAUCAGCGCGGUGCGCCGGCCGUGGCGGCCAUUGGAGGGUGAAUCAACAGCAAAAGGAAGACCUUUCUCUCUGUCUCUCUCUCUCACUGUCCACUCUGCCUGUCAAAAAAAAAAAAAAAAAAAAAGCCAUUUAAAAAUAAAUUGCAAGGGCAGGCAUUUGGUAAACUGGUUUUUAAAAUGCCACUUUGGAUGCCUACACCUCAUAUCAGAGUGCCUGGAUUCAAGUCCUGGCUCCACUCCCAAUUCCAGCUUCCUGAUAAUGGGCACCUUGGGAGGUAGCAGUGAGGACUCAAGCAGGUGUUUGUCUGUCACCCAACUGGGAGGCCUGCACUGAGUUCCCAACUCCUGUCUUUGGUCUGCCUCAGCCCCAUCAUGCGCAUUUGGAGAUUUAACCAGUGGGUGAGAGCUCUCUGUUUUCUGUCUCCCUGUCUUUCAGAUAAAAUGAAUAAAUAAAUUAUUAUUUUAUCUUAUUAAAUUAUUUAUUUAUUUGAAAGGCAGAAUUACAGAGCGGGAGAUAAAGAGAGUGAUCUUCCAUCCUCUGGCUUACUCUGCAAAUGGCCACAACAGCCCAGGUUGGGGCAGGCUGGAGCCAGGAGCCAGGAGCCUUAUUCAGGUCUCCCACAUGGGUGUCAAGGGCCCAAGCACUUGGGCCAUCCUUCUCUAUUUUCCCAGGCACAUCAGCAGGGAGCUGGAUCAGAAGUGGAAUAGCCACCCACAUGGGAUGCUGGCACAGCAAGCGGCAGCUUUAACUGCUGCACCACAGCACCAGCCUGCAAUAAAUAAAUGUUUAAAAAAUAAUAAAAAGUUGCAAAUAUGUAAUUUCUAAUAAGAACAUUAUUCUAUGUAAGCAAAAUGCCAUUAUCACACUUAACAAUUCUAAUGCUGAUAUAAGAAUAUUAUUUAAUAUGUAGUUUAUAUUGGAAAAAUUAAAAGUAAGCAUCAAGAGAGUAACAUUGCACAGAAUAAACUGUUAACAUUUUGGUAUUUCAUUGCAAUAUAUGUAUAUAUUUACAUAGUUGAACACAGUGUAUGUAGUAGUGCUUCAGUCUUUUAAUUUUUUCAACUAGCAGAGUAUAAUACAGAUUCUAAGAUGGCAUUAAACAUGCUUUAUAAAAAUAAAAAGUGAUGUGUCUAGAAGCAGAACUGCUGAGCUGCAAACAACCUGGGUGUGAGUCAGAGAAUAUUAGGACAAGCCUGUCCACCAGGAAUAUAGAUUUGAUUGCAUGUGACUUGUGUCAACUUUGGAGAAAUCAAGAGCAAAAUGUAAAGCAAGGCAAAGGAAAUGCUUUUAAAUGAGCCAUUCAGCCUCUAAGGCAAGUUAUAUGGCAGCAAUUGAAAUUCAAAGGGAAAGCAUCAACAUGCCAGGUUUAACCAUCUUUAAAUCACACAUCACUUAUUCACUCAUUCCUUCACAAGAUCAAGUUUUAUUUUUAAAAUUUUAAUAACAGCAAUUAUUAGCACUAUCUGGGCAUUUAGCAGUUACAAAAGCUCUACUCAGAUACCUCUUAGGGCCCCUGAAAUUCUAAUACUCAGACGGAAGCCACAAAAUAUUAAUCUUUAUAUUUUCCAUUCACCAAAAAGGAUUUAAAAACUGAAUCAGCGUGGUAGGAGAUAGCCUUCUACUGUAUAAUGUAAAUCUGUACAUUCCAAUCUGCUCUAAACAGUAGCAUUUAUGUCUUGUUUUCGUACUACACUUUAGUGCAUUAAUGCUAUAACUCACAAAUAGAGAGGUAUUUCAUUCCUGGGGCUUUAAAGUUAAUGUAAAUAUCACAGUUGAAAAUCUAAUAGAACACUGAAAAAAAGUAAAGCCAGUUAAAUGGUGAAUUGCCUUAAUACAUACAUUGAGUCAAUCUUUUAAUUAGAACCAAGUGAUUUCUGGUGGUAUGGUUCAGAACUGUUAAGAAAGCUGGUCCUGGGGCCAGCGCUGUGGCACAGCCGGUUAAAGCCCCUGCUUGAAGUACUGGCAUCCCAUACGAGUGCCAGUUCGAGUCCCAGCUGCUCCACUUCCCAUCCAGCCCUCUGCUGUGGCUGUGGCCUGGGAGGGCGGUGGAGGAUGGCCCAAGUCCUUGGGCCCCUGCACUCAUGUGGGAGACCUGGAAGAAGCUCUUGGCUCCUGACUUCAGAUUGGUGCAGCUCCAGCCACUGCAGCCAAUUGAGGAGUGAACCAGUGGAUGGAAGAUAUCUCUGUCACUACCUCUCUCUCUAACUCUGACUUUCAAAUAAUAAAUCUUUAAAAAAAAAAAAAAAAAAGAAAGAAAGCCAGUCCUGUUUAAAUAAACAUCCUUAAGUCUCAGAGUUCAAAAAGCUGCCUGUAUUUCACUGGCAAAGAUUUGUAUUUCCAGUGAGAUGGUAGAAUAGGAGCUUCCAGUGCCCGUCCCCUUGUGGAAUCAUCAAUUUGAACAACUGUCCACAUGAGAAAACAGCUGCAAAGGAGCUCAAGGAUCCAGAUGAGAGAAUGCAGCACCUGAGUGGGGCACAGAAAGAAGAAAAGAGGCACUGGAGGGGGCAGAACAACAGUCUCCGCUCACCCAAGCCUCAGCUCUGCAGCACAGACAUCUGCACAGGAGAGUGAGCCCUUGGCUUUGCUAUAGUGAAGCACCAGGCCCACCUCAGUCAUCCUGGUGCCAUGAUUGCCGGGCAGCCCCACCUCCAGGCCUACCCCAGCACCAGGCUAACACAACCUCAGGUUCCAGGCUAGCUAGGCCUGCCCCAGGAUGGCUGUUAGAAAAAGACAAAAGAUUUAUUUGAAAGACUGAGUUACAGAAAGAGAGAGACACAUAGAGAGGUAUCUUCCAUCCACUGAUUCACUCCCCAAAUGGUCACAACGUCUAGAGCUGGGCCAAAUCAAAGCCAGAGCCAGGAGCUUCAUCUGGGUCUCCCACAAUGGUACAAGAACUUGGGCCAUCCUCUGCAACUUUUCCAGGCACAUUAGCAGGGAGCUGGAUCAGAAUCAGUGCAGCUGUAAACUUGAACCAGUGCCCAUAUGGGAUGCAGGCUUGUAGGUGGUGGCUUAACCUGUUGUACCACAGCACCAGCCCCAUAUGGAAUUUUUUUUUUUAAGAUUUAUUUAUUUUGCUUGAAAGAGUUACACAGAGAGAGAAGGAGAGGCAGGACGAGACAGAGAGAGAGAGAGAGAGAGAGGUCUUCCAUCUGCUGGUUCACUCCCCAAUUGGCUGCAAAGGCCGGAGCUGUGCCAAUCCGGAGCCAGGAGCUAGGAGCCUGCUUCAGGUCUCCCACACGGGUGCAGGGGCCCAAGGACUCGGGCCAUCUCCUACUGCUUUCCCAGGCCACAGCAGAGAGCUGGAUAGGAAGUGGAGCAGCUGGGUCUCGAACCCGCGUCCAUAUGGGAUGCCGGCACUGCAGGCUGGGUUUUAACCCACUGCACCACAGCACCGGCCCUGCCCCAUAUGGAAUUAAAAAAAAUUUUUUUGGAUUCUUCAUUGGUGGUGUAUAGAAAUGAAACGUAUUUUUGUAUGUUGACUUUGCAUCCUGCUGCUUUGCUAAAGUUAUUGAUUAGUCCUAGCAGAAUAUUUUUGUGUGUGCAACUUUUAGGAUUUUUUGUCUAUAAAAUCAUAUCAUGGCCGGCGCCGAGGCUUAAUAGGCUAAUCCUCCACCUGCGGUGCCAGCACACCAGGUUCUAGUCCCGGUCGAGGCGCCGGAUUCUGUCUCGGUUGCCCCUCUUCCAGUCCAGCUCUCUGUUGUGGCCCUGGGAGUGCAGUGGGCCCCUUGGGCCCUGCACCCGCAUGGGAGACCAGGAGGAAGCACCUGGCUCCUGGCUUCAGAUCAGCGCAGUGCGCCGGCCGCAGCACGCCGGCCACAGCGGCCAUUGGAGGGUGAACCAACAGUAAAGGAAGACCUUUCUCUCUGUCUCUCUCUCUCAUUGUCUAUUCUGCCUGUCAAAAGAAAAAAAAUCAUAUCAUAUGCAAACAUAUAAUUUUACUACUUCCUUUCCAAUUUGGAGGCCUUCCCCCCUCAAUUGCUUUUUCCCCCCAAUUGCUUUCAUACUCUUGUAAUUAUUUUGAAGUAUAUAACAGAUUAUUGUAGACCAUAGUUGCCCUUCUAGGCUAUAGAACAUCAGAAUAUUGUGCAUUUUUUAAAAAGAACUUAUUUAUUUAUUUGAGAAGCAGAGAGAUAGGAAAACAGAUACAGGGAACCCCCAUGUACUAGUUCAUUCCACCAGAUGCCUGCAAUGACCCAUACUAGGCUUGGUUAAAGUUGGGAGCUGGAAACAUAUUCCAAGUGUUCCAGAUAAAUGUCAGGAACCCAAUUACUUGAGCCAUCACUGCUUCCUCUGAGGGCCUACAUUGCUGGAAGCUGGAGUCAGGAGCUGGAGUAGGUAUUGAACUCAGGUGCUCUGAUGUGGAAUGCAGGCAUCUUAACCAGCAUCUUAAUCUUAAGUUUCUCUUUUUUAUUGGAAAGGCAGAGUUACAAAGAGAGAGGGGGAAAGACAGAAAGAGAUUUUCCAUCCUCUGGUUCAUUCCCCCAAGAUGGCCGCAACGGCCAAAGCUGCACUGAUCCGAAGCCAGGCCGAUCCAGAGCCAAGAGCUUCUUCUGGGUCUCCCACAUGGAUGCAGGGGCCCAAACACUUGGCAUCUUUUGCUGCUUUCUCAGGCACAUUAGCAAGGAUCAGACAUGGAACAGUCAGACUCAAACCCAGAGCCCAUAUGGGAUGCCCAGAACCCAUAUGGGAUGCCAGGGCUGCAGGAGUGGCUUAACCUGCUGUACCACAGCGCCGACCUAUACCCCAUGUUUUUUAAUGCAAGCAUCUUUACCUAUAAAUUUUCUCCUCACACUGGGGCUAGCAUUUUGGCAUAGAGAAUUAAGCUACCACUUGUGAUGCCAGCAUCCAAUAUGGGUGCCAGUUUGAGUCCUGGCUGCUCCUUGUUGAUUCAGCUCUCUGCUAAUGGCCUGGGAAUGCAGCAGAAGAUGGCCCGAGUGCUUGGGCACCUGCACCCAUGUGGGAGACCCAGGUGAAAUUCCUGGCUCCUGGUUUCAGCCUGUUCCAAUCUUGGCUGUUGUGGCCAUUUGGUGAGUGAACCAGCUGAUGGAAGCUCGCUCUCUCUCUCUCUCUCUCUCUCUCUCCCCCCCUUUAUCUCUCCUCUCUCUCUCUCUAACCCUGCCUUUCAAAUAAGUAUAUAAAUCAUUUUUUAAAGAUUUAUUUAUUUAUUUAUUUGAAAGAGUUACACAGAGAGGAAAGAGAGAGAGAGAGAGAGAGAGGUCUUCCAUCCGAUGGUUUACUCCCCAACUGGCUGCAACAGCCAGAGCUGCACCGAUCCGAAGUCAGGAGCCAGGAGCUUCUGGGAUUCCCUUGCAGGGGCCCAAGGACUUGGGCCAUCUUCUGCUGCUUUCCCAGGCCAUAUCAGAGAGCUGGAUUGGAAGUGGAGCAGCCAGGUCUCGAACCGGUGCCCAUAUGCGAUGCUGGCGCUUCAAGCCAGGACGUUAACCCGCUGCACUACAGUGCUGGCCCUUAAACAAGUAUAUAAAUCUUUAAAAAAAAACUGUUGAGAUUUAAUUUGUAAACUAAAUUUGGUCUUUCUGAGAAAAUGUCUCAUGUGUACUUGAGAAGAAUGUGUAUGCUAUUGUUAUUGUAUAGCAUGUUUUGUAUAUGUCUGUUGCAUCUAGUUGGUUUGUUCUGUUAAGUCCUCCAUUUCCUUCCUUAUUUUCUGUCUUAUUCUAGCCAUUAUUAAGAGUGAAGUAUUGAGUCUCUGUUAAUAGAACUCUGUGAUUAUUCCUUUAGUUCUGUCAAUUUUGCUGCAUUUUUUAUGGUUUGAAUUUAGAGGUGUAAAUGGUUAUUAUUGGUAUACCUUAUUGCUAUAUUGAACCUUUAAUUAAAAAAAUAAUAUAUUAUUAUAUGAUGUCCUUUGUCUCUUGUAAUCUUUUUGUUUGUUUUUUUAAAAAAAAGAUUUAUUUAUUUUACUUGAAAGUCACAGUCACACAGAGAGAGGAGAGGCACAGAGAGAGAGAGAGAGAGAGAGGUCUUCCAUCUGAUGGUUCACUCCCCAGAUGGCCGCAAUGGCCGGAGCUGUGCCAAUCCAAAGCUAAGAGCCAGUUCUUCUGGGUCUCCCACAUGGAUGCAGGGGCCCAAGGACUUGGGCCAUCUUCUACUGCUUUCCCAGGUCAUUGCAGAGAGCUGGAACAGAAGUGGAGCAGCCAGCUCUCAAACCGGCGCCCAUAUGGGAUGCUGGCACUGCAGGCAGCAGCUUUACCCAUUACACCACAGCGCCGGUCCCCUUGUAAUCUUUUUUUUUUUUUUUUUUUGACAGGCAGAGUGGACAGUGAGAGAGAGAGACAGAGAGAAAGGUCUUCCUUUACCGUUGGUUCACCCUCCAAUGGCCGCCACGGCUGGCGUGCUGCGCUGAUCCAAAGGCAGGAGCCAGGUGCUUCUCCUGGUCUCCCAUGGGGUGCAGGGCCCAAGCACUUGGGCCAUCCUCCAUUGCACUCCCUGGCCACAGCAGGGAGCUGGCCUGGAAGAGGGCAACCGGGACAGAAUCUGGUGCCCCGACCGGGACUAGAACCCGGUGUGCCGGCGCCGCUAGGUGGAGGAUUAGCCUAGUGAGCCGCAGCGCCGGCC
Non-coding RNA from Oryctolagus cuniculus (rabbit), 12730 nucleotides. NCBI's taxonomy places the organism in Eukaryota, Metazoa, Chordata, Mammalia, Lagomorpha, Leporidae. The record is from RefSeq and is a predicted model, not a curated record.